AAGUCGUAACAAGGUUUCCGUAGGUGAACCUGCGGAAGGAUCAUUAAAAAAUCUAAUUGAUGAGCCGCAAGGCUCUAAUAUCUUGUGAAACUGUGGUGUAUCGUUGUUGUUACUACAAGCAGGCGGCUGGAAAGUGGGUAUAGUAGGAAUCUAUCUUAUGGAUUUAUUUCGAAAAACUUGCUUGCCUGCCGCCUCUGUGGCAACAGAUAUAACGAUAUACAUCUAUAAUAUAUAUGUUUUUGAUGUUGAGGAAGUAUUAUACAAAUAUAAUAUAUGUACAACUUUCAACAGUGGAUCUCUCGGCUCUU
This 308-nucleotide unclassified non-coding RNA is filed under the name fungal sp. RNAcentral describes it as "partial internal transcribed spacer region". The stretch from base 1 to 46 matches the Rfam family "Eukaryotic small subunit ribosomal RNA", at positions 1786 to 1831 of the family's 1831-position model. Lineage: Eukaryota; Fungi. The record is from RNAcentral.